AGUGAACGCUGGCGGUAGGCCUAACACAUGCAAGUCGAACGGCAGCACAGUAAGAGCUUGCUCUUACGGGUGGCGAGUGGCGGACGGGUGAGGGAUACAUCGGAAUCUACUUUUUCGUGGGGGAUAACGUAGGGAAACUUACGCUAAUACCGCAUACGACCUACGGGUGAAAGCAGGGGAUCUUCGGACCUUGCGCGAUUGAAUGAGCCGAUGUCGGAUUAGCUAGUUGGCGGGGUAAAGGCCCACCAAGGCGACGAUCCGUAGCUGGUCUGAGAGGAUGAUCAGCCACACUGGAACUGAGACACGGUCCAGACUCCUACGGGAGGCAGCAGUGGGGAAUAUUGGACAAUGGGCGCAAGCCUGAUCCAGCCAUACCGCGUGGGUGAAGAAGGCCUGCGGGUUGUAAAGCCCUUUUGUUGGGAAAGAAAAGCAGCAGGUUAAUACCCCGCUGUUCUGACGGUACCCAAAGAAUAAGCACCGGCUAACUUCGU
RNAcentral lists this ribosomal RNA (491 nucleotides) under uncultured bacterium. RNAcentral describes it as "partial 16S ribosomal RNA". It matches the Rfam family "Bacterial small subunit ribosomal RNA", at positions 29 to 506 of the family's 1533-position model. The record is from RNAcentral.